Molecule: ribosomal RNA, 421 nt
Filed under: uncultured bacterium
Lineage: Bacteria
Description: bacterial SSU rRNA
Rfam family: Bacterial small subunit ribosomal RNA
Source: RNAcentral
UAGGGAAUAUUGGACAAUGGGGGGAACCCUGAUCCAGCCAUGCCGCGUGGAGGAAGACUGCCCUCUGGGUUGUAAACUCCUUUUAUAUGGGAAGAACCGUCCUCAUUGAUGAGUGACCUGACGGUACCAUAGGAAUAAGCACCGGCUAACUCCGUGCCAGCAGCCGCGGUAAUACGGAGGGUGCAAGCGUUAUCCGGAUUCACUGGGUUUAAAGGGUGCGUAGGCGGAUAUGUAAGUCAGUGGUGAAAUCAACGGGCUCAACCUGUUAACUGCCAUUGAUACUGUGUAUCUUGAAUAUGAGAGAGGUAGGCGGAAUGUUGCAUGUAGCGUUGAAAUGCUUAGAUAUGCUACGGAACACCGAUUGCGAAGGCAGCUUACUAUUUCGUAAUUGACGCUGAGGCACGAAAGCGUGGGUAGCGAA